UUUGAUCCGCCUAAGUUGAGAGAGACAGAGCUUCUAACAGGAACCCUCCGCCAAAACCUUCGACUUCUUCCUUCUUCCUUCACUGUUCUGACGGUCAUCGGCGAGAGUUGGCCGAGUUGCAGCUUUGCUAUGGUGUCUUCUUCAGCACCGUGAUUUCUUGUUCUUCCCCUGCUCCGUGAUCAUGUGAAUAUGCCGCUGCAGAUUGUGGGUUGCGAGUUCUUGGUUCCCUGUGUUGCCUUCGGUCAUUCACUGGUUCUACUUUGCGUCGUCGGAGCUCUUUCUUUCUCCAUAUCUGUUUUGCAACUUCCUCUUCUUUGUGCUUCUGCCUUCGUGAUCUGAGGGAGGGCUAGUUGAAUCAAGCUGACAAUUUUCGUAUUAAAAGCUAAGUGAUGAUAGUAUGGUUUUGAAUAUUUUCUUCUUGGGUUUAAAUUAAUCUUGAUGAGGAAUUUGAUUGGAAAAGCAUGAUGAGUUCAAUUGUGGAUGUUUGGGAAUUUAUUGGGCAAGAGAUUAAAGGUUAAAAAACCUUAUUGAUUAGGCUGGAAAAUUACGCACACUAUGUGUUUGAUACAAUGCCUAAGAAGAAGUUAUAUCCCUAUGGAAUAGUUAAUUAUAGUUAAAGUAUUACGUAGAAACUUGGCGAUAUAGACGAUAAUGUUUGGAAAAAUCUUUGGAUUAUUCAAGUUGAAAAUGAUUAUAUAAAUGUUGAGAGCAAAUUCAUUUGAUUUGAGUAAAGGCUAUUAGAAUUUCUUUAUAUUAUUAGGAUAUUUGGAGGAAGUGGAAUUGGAAACAAGUUGUAAGGAGUAAGUUUUGAUCUUGGAUGUACUUCACGUAAAUGAAUAGUAUUCCAAUUAAAUACAAGAGCAAGUUUUUAUUUUAUCAAAAUUACUAUUGAAUAUGUGCUUUACUUGGCACCUUGUCAUCUUUUUCAGCCACGGAGUUUGGUUCUAUUGCUAUUAAGUCUAAAAUUUUAGCACUUUACUCUGUUUGUAACACAUCAACAUCAUUUAAGUAAAGAGUAUAUUUCAGUAAAUAUUAACAGGAAAAUCAAACCAAACCAACUUCUUGAUAAAAGUGUUGAAAAACCAACAAAUAACUUAAUUGUUUCUGUUUUUUUUUUUUUCAAGUCAUCCUAUGGGAAGCUAUUGAAACGUAGUUCUAAAAAUGUAUGGCUGCUUUGUCCCAAAGGGGGAAAAAAAAUUCUGCAACCAAGACAAAAUAUAGAACAAAAUAGGUAUGUAUGGAGGUUAUAUAAGUUCCAUAAAUUCUCAUAAAAAGAUGAAGAUGAUGGAAGAAGCACAUAUGGUUUCAGGGUCUGAGUUUGUUCACUGGUCAUUAUUAAAGAGUAUAUUUCAUUGGAAGGAAACAAAUUGCUUUCAGUGCUUUUUAGAUGCGUAGUUGUCUUUCAACUCACAUGCAUAUUUAUUAGUUAUUACAAGUUAAAAUAAUAGCGUGGUUUCAGUUUUAGAUAAGCAGCACCAACUUACUUUAUUUCUUUUGGUAUGUUUUUUCUUCUCUCUCUUCUUCACAAGGAGGAAAGAAUGUUUUGUAUAAGAGUUGAUGUGAUUCGAAUACAGUGGCUUUUCAAGUCCACAAACCAAUUCAAAUCCUCUUGGCAUAAUUGUUUAUCGUAUUCCUUGUAAUUUGUUUAUUGUAUUGCAGAAGGUCCAUAAGCCGAUUCAAGUCCUUGCAAUUUGUUUAAUGUAUAUGAUCAGACCACUUGUUUAAAUAAAAACUUUAUUUUGCCUCUGUUUGAGGAAGGCCUAGUGUGAUGUGGCAUUGAAAUUAUAAUAAUUGGCAGAACUGUAAUUUGCUCUUAUGAGGUUGAUGAGUGGCCAGAUUGUGUCUUUGGUCAUUGAGAUUGUAAUUAGGAAAUUUCAAGAGAUCAUACUUUGGAUUAGGUUGAAGUCCUGUCUAGUGUAUAUGUCUGUUUUGCAGUGUUAUUAAUAUGACUAAAUAUUCUUGUUUACUUACUAUAAUGGCAAUGAUUGAUUUUAAAAUGGCUUAA
This is a long non-coding RNA of Prosopis cineraria, 2005 nucleotides long. RefSeq lists it as uncharacterized. Lineage: Eukaryota; Viridiplantae; Streptophyta; Magnoliopsida; Fabales; Fabaceae. The record is from RefSeq and is a predicted model, not a curated record. The transcript is spliced from 2 exons.